GACGAACGCUGGCGGCGUGCUUAACACAUGCAAGUCGAACGGAAAGGCCCUGCUUUUGUGGGGUGCUCGAGUGGCGAACGGGUGAGUAACACGUGAGUAACCUGCCCUUGACUUUGGGAUAACUUCAGGAAACUGGGGCUAAUACCGGAUAGGAGCUCCUGCUGCAUGGUGGGGGUUGGAAAGUUUCGGCGGUUGGGGAUGGACUCGCGGCUUAUCAGCUUGUUGGUGGGGUAGUGGCUUACCAAGGCUUUGACGGGUAGCCGGCCUGAGAGGGUGACCGGCCACAUUGGGACGGAGAGACGGCCCAGACUCCUACGGGAGGCAGUAGUGGGGAAUAUUGAACAAUGGGCGGAAGCCUGAUGCAGCAACGCCGCGUGCGGGAUGACGGCCUUCGGGUUGUAAACCGCUUUCGCCUGUGACGAAGCGUGAGUGACGGUAAUGGGUAAAGAAGCACCGGCUAACUACGUG
This 468-nucleotide ribosomal RNA is filed under the name uncultured bacterium. Its description in RNAcentral is "partial 16S ribosomal RNA". It matches the Rfam family "Bacterial small subunit ribosomal RNA", at positions 28 to 507 of the family's 1533-position model. The record is from RNAcentral.